Long non-coding RNA from Passer domesticus (house sparrow), 1062 nucleotides. RefSeq lists it as uncharacterized. The record is from RefSeq and is a predicted model, not a curated record. The transcript has 3 exons. NCBI's taxonomy places the organism in Eukaryota, Metazoa, Chordata, Aves, Passeriformes, Passeridae.
CAAGAAGAAGACAGGUGAAACUGCUAUAACUCCAUUUAGGUAACUGCAAAGAAAUAUGCAUCUCGUGGAACUUCUUCCAUUAGAAAAAACAAAGAGACUAAGCACACAAGUAAAGCUGCUCCUCUACAAGCCUGCUAUCAAGCAGAAGGAAGAAAUAAAAGGAAAUCAAUUUGUCCACCUGAAAGACAGGCAGACAGGUUGCCCAAGUUAUCUGUCAGGCCAGGCUUCUUGCAAGUGUUCCUGCUUCCUCCUGGCAUUGGGAUUAUCACUACUACUCAACAAUCUCUAUUCCUCCAUGACAUUUGUACAGUCAGCACCUGGCCCUUUUAACACCCAGAGCAUCAUUUAAGGCAAGGAGUUUCACUAGUUACCCACAAAACAUAUAAAGCCACAUCUCCUGCUGUUUGAUUCUGAACCUGUAAACCAGCAACCUCUGCUGACACCUCCCAGUUCUUGAAUUGGAAGAGACAUUGAACAACUGCUUCCUCAACAUGUUCUACAAACUAUCACCACAUCUUCCUCUUAGUCACCUCUUCUUUAAGUUGAAAGAUAAGUAGAUAAUAUUGUUUCUCGUAAGAAAAUUGUCCCUGUUUGAUAAUCCUUGUUGCGACUCUCUGUACCUCUCAGUUCUUCUGCAACAAAAGGAAGGGUAAGAAAAGCAAGAACAUCCAAUCAAAACUCCAUAUAGUAUUUAAGAUACAGUACAUUAUGGAUUCAUACAUUAACAUAAUUUUUUUUUUAAUCUCCAUUCUUCAUUAGAUGUCAGGAGUUAUUAGAAAAUAACUCUAAUGUAGCUGGUCUAAAACAACUGCGUGUUCAAAAACUGCAUCAUAAAGAGAUUACAGAAACCUGUAUCAUCAAGAUCACACAGGUAUUUAAACUAAGGCUGGUACCUGAACAUAGCAGCAUUGGUAACACCAGCUUUCAGAGAACACUGCAAACCAAUUUUUCUUUACUUAAUACUAUUUUUUCCACCUAGAAUAAAGAUAUUCACGUUAGCUGUUGGACAAGAAUGAUGUCUGAGAAAUUUCAAGCAGUAUUUCUCCAUCUGUAUUCUAUGAA